GAUGAACGCUGGCGGCGUGCCUAAUACAUGCAAGUCGAGCGAACGGACGAGAAGCUUGCUUCUCUGAUGUUAGCGGCGGACGGGUGAGUAACACGUGGAUAACCUACCUAUAAGACUGGGAUAACUUCGGGAAACCGGAGCUAAUACCGGAUGAUAUUUUGAACCGCAUGGUUCAAAAGUGAAAGACGGUCUUGCUGUCACUUAUAGCUGGAUCCGCGCUGCAUUAGCUAGUUGGUAAGGUAACGGCUUACCAAGGCAACGAUGCAUAGCCGACCGGGGAGGGUGAUCGGCCACACUGGAACUGAGACACGGUCCCGACGCCUACGGGAGGCAGCAGUAGGGAAUGUUCCGCAAUGGGCGAAAGCCUGACGGAGCAACGCCGCGUGAGUGAUGAAGGUCUUCGGUUCGUAAAACUCUGUUACUAGGUAAGAACAUAUGUGUAAGUAACUGUGCACAUCGUGACGGUACCUAAUCAGAAAGCCACGGCUAACUACGUG
This 497-nucleotide ribosomal RNA is filed under the name uncultured bacterium. Its description in RNAcentral is "partial 16S ribosomal RNA". It matches the Rfam family "Bacterial small subunit ribosomal RNA", at positions 28 to 507 of the family's 1533-position model. The record is from RNAcentral.